AUACGGAAGGUCCGGGCGUUAUCCGGAUUUAUUGGGUUUAAAGGGAGCGCAGGCGGAGAUGCAAGCGUGACGUCAAAUUUCGGGGCUCAACCCCGUCUCGCGUCGCGAACUGCGUCCCUUGGUUGCGGGAAGGGGAGGCGGAACUCGUGGUGUAGCGGUGAAACGCAUAGAUAUCACGAAGAACUCCGAUCGCGAAGGCAGCCUUCCGGCCCGUCAACGACGCUCAUGCUCGAAGGUGCGGGUAUCAAACAGGAUUAGAUACCCUGGUAGUCCGCACAGUAAACGAUGGACACCCGCGGUUUGGCCUAUAUGGCUGAGCCGCCAAGCGAAAGCGUUAAGUGUCCCACCUGGGGAGUACGCCGGCAACGGUGAAACUCAAGGGAAUUGACGGGG
RNAcentral lists this ribosomal RNA (393 nucleotides) under uncultured bacterium. Its description in RNAcentral is "partial 16S ribosomal RNA". It matches the Rfam family "Bacterial small subunit ribosomal RNA", at positions 523 to 918 of the family's 1533-position model. The record is from RNAcentral.